CUACGUGCCAGCAGCCGCGGUAAUACGGAGGAUGCGAGCGUUAUCCGGAUUUAUUGGGUUUAAAGGGUGCGUAGGCGGCCUGUUAAGUCAGCGGUGAAAUCUAGGAGCUUAACUCCUAAAUUGCCAUUGAUACUGGCGGGCUUGAGUGUAGAUGAGGUAGGCGGAAUGCGUGGUGUAGCGGUGGAAUGCAUAGAUAUCACGCAGAACUCCGAUUGCGAAGGCAGCUUACUAAGGUACAACUGACGCUGAAGCACGAAAGCGUGGGUAUCAAACAGGAUUAGAUACCCUGGUAGUCCACGCAGUAAACGAUGAUAACUGGGCGUAUGCGAUAUACAGUAUGCUCCUAAGCGAAAGCGUUAAGUUAUCCACCUGGGGAGUACGCCGGCAACGGUGAAACUCAAAGGAAUUGACGGGGGCCCGCACAAGCGGAGGAACAUGUGGUUUAAUUCGAUGAUACGCGAGGAACCUUACCCGGGAUUGAACUGCCGGUGCK
RNAcentral lists this ribosomal RNA (493 nucleotides) under uncultured bacterium. RNAcentral describes it as "bacterial SSU rRNA". It matches the Rfam family "Bacterial small subunit ribosomal RNA", at positions 501 to 996 of the family's 1533-position model. The record is from RNAcentral.